UCCGUUAAUAACGACUUGAAAUU
RNAcentral lists this small nuclear RNA (23 nucleotides) under Arabidopsis thaliana (thale cress). Its description in RNAcentral is "snRNA_13422". Lineage: Eukaryota; Viridiplantae; Streptophyta; Magnoliopsida; Brassicales; Brassicaceae. The record is from RNAcentral.